This 93-nucleotide transfer RNA is filed under the name Nevskia sp. RNAcentral's name for it is "tRNA-Ser". It matches the Rfam family "tRNA". From Rfam's summary of the family: Transfer RNA (tRNA) molecules are approximately 80 nucleotides in length. Their secondary structure includes four short double-helical elements and three loops (D, anti-codon, and T loops). The record is from RNAcentral. Lineage: Bacteria; Pseudomonadati; Pseudomonadota; Gammaproteobacteria; Nevskiales; Nevskiaceae.
GGAGAGAUGUCCGAGUGGUUGAAGGAGCACGCCUGGAAAGCGUGUAUACGGUCACAAGCCGUAUCGCGGGUUCGAAUCCCGCUCUCUCCGCCA